UGAGUAACGCGUGGGUAACCUGCCUUAUACAGGGGGAUAACAGUCAGAAAUGGCUGCUAAUACCGCAUAAGCGCACAGAGCUGCAUGGCUCAGUGUGAAAAACUCCGGUGGUAUAAGAUGGACCCGCGUUGGAUUAGCUGGUUGGUGGGGUAACGGCCCACCAAGGCGACGAUCAGUAGCCGGUCUGAGAGGAUGAACGGCCACACUGGAACUGAGACACGGUCCAGACUCCUACGGGAGGCAGCAUG
This 248-nucleotide ribosomal RNA is filed under the name uncultured bacterium. Its description in RNAcentral is "partial 16S ribosomal RNA". It matches the Rfam family "Bacterial small subunit ribosomal RNA", at positions 107 to 353 of the family's 1533-position model. The record is from RNAcentral.